UUGUCGUGGAAUUGCCGUCUCUAACUGCUGUCACUACUCUUUGUCGUUCAACCGUCUUCAACUGAACUCCUUCAAUCGUAGAACGUGAUAAGGUUACUUAAUAACUGCACUUCCGGAUAACCAUAACAUCUUAUGUUUGCUAAGAUCCUGGGCGAUUCAAAGGUUUGGGCGAGAACAGGGUCAUAGCUCUGGGCGACUGUAAGGCACUUCAUUCGCUCAGAUCUUGGGCGUCUUGCAGGCUUGGGCGAUGAUGUUACCGUGUUUGUGGACUUCCACUGCAUUCAUUAAUAACCCUAUCUGGGCCUUUAUCCUGAAUUGUCUAGUUGGGCUUCAUUCCUUGGGUUAUUCGAUUUGGGUUGCACUUUUAGUGUGUCAACAAUUAUCUCCCAAUAUGACAGAAUUAAUACCAAUUAUUAAUCUUUGCCAUAUUUACUUUGUGUUUCCCAGCAACAUUUGAAAUUCCCAAGAAUUUCAAUCAUUAUUUCCUUCCAUAGCUUGAAAAAGUGCGACGUUACAAACCCUUAUAAACCCCAAAGAUACGCCAUUUCGUUGUACCACUAAAUCACGCCUCAUUAUUUUGCGCUUCUUUCUCGCCAUACCACUGUUCAUCUUCUUACUUCUCUGCUACGUUUCUCAAACAAACUUUAACAAAACUGUAUUUUGUCCUCAAUGGCUGCUCCACAAACCCAAUCUGAUGACUCUUUUAGCUUUGAAGAUUUUCAGAAAAUCCUCACUCGGUCAUAUGUAAACCCGAACUUUCUUGCACCAGCCAAUGCCAAACUUAAUGAGUUCUAUCUAGGUCCUUCAUUUAACAACCCCGAAACCGUCGAACAAGUGGCAGUGGGCCAGCUGUUCCCUUGUACUCAAGGCCCUCCAUUCCUGAACUCUUUGCCGCUGAGGCCGAUUUGCGAAAAUGGUAUUCGCACUUGACCUAAAUCUGAUGUUGUUUAACGUAGAUGACAUGCUUGCGUUGUGGGCCAUUGUCCUACCAAGACACUUUUUGAUCGUGCUAAAAUUUCUGAUUUAUUAGAAAUCUCUCUUCAACCCCCAAUUUUUGACCCAGCAUUUUUUUCUAUUGCUUUAAGUUUUUGGUCUUCUGAAUAUAAUACUUUGUUUUCCCUCUUGGUCCUAUAUCCAUUACUUUAAGGGAUGUUGGGGCCCUAAUAAAUCUUCCACCUUUGGACGACACCAUUUUCCCUGGUAUUUUAAUUUUCGGUGUUGCCCAAAAAUUUGACAAACAACUCACCGAGUCCUAUUCAAGCCUGCAAGGCUGUUAUAAUCACUCAAAUGCUGAGCUUUCCCACACUGAGCGUGUGGUCUUUAUUCAGAUUCGAUUUUGUAAAUAUAUUCUAUGUGUGCCCAGUAUAAAGCCUUCUAUGAGCUAUUUACCCAUAGCGCACGAAUUGGCGCGUGGUAGGCCUUUGAAUUUGUGUUCUUUCUUCUUCGCUGCCCUCUAUAGAGGCAUGACUUCUCUUCAAUUUCAAUUGAAAAAUGGUGCAUCUCCCACUGGCAGUGGGCCUCUUUGGUUCACUCAACUAUGGUUGAGAGCCUAUUUUCCAUCACUUGGUGCUCUAUCCAUGUCCCUUCGUUCUGCCAGUUGCUAUGGGCUAGCCAUUGACCCAUUGAGUCAUGUAAAUAUGUCUAGAAGGGACAUUUUUUCAUUCUUUUAUACUUUAAAUUCAAUUCCUUCAUUCUUUCCCUUUCCUGCUCAUUUAACUCCAGAUUAUGUGCAACCUCCAUCUACCUUGGAAAGUGCGAGCGCCUCUUUGCUCGUUUGGGUUCAGUUUUUGACUGGGAGGGAGUUGUUCCAUGAUAUUUUAAUUGGAACAAAUGACAAAGCUGGGGUUGAAAUAUAUGCUCCCCAAUUUUUUACUCGCCAAUUUGGUUUUGGCCAAACUUGGCCUGUUCCCCGUUGUUAUUCAAAAAAUUUGAUAGACCACUUUCACACCAUUAAUCAGGCAGAGGCACAAGCUAUAGAUGCUCGCAAUAUUCUUUUGACGAGUAACUUUUCAUUAGCCCCCUUCAAUCCUAGCCGUGCCGUUUACCCCCUUUUUGAACAACUCUGGCCAUCAGUGAAGCGCAGAUUGUUUGCCACUAAUGCCAAUCGUUCUUUUCAUUCACUGGAUCAACCAAACAUUUUUUUUCACUUCUCCUAUUUUGGUCACCUCUAGGGCCAUUAGGAAUCUUUCCUCCCUUGCUCGUGCUAAACAAUCUAUUCGUCCCUCUACUUCUCUACCUGCCAAACCUACUGCAGCUAAGAGUGCCCCAAGCUGCAAAUUGCCAGUUUUAGCAUCUCCCAUUUUGGAGGAUGAUGAUGAUGAUGAUGACACUCCUCUCAUCGUCAGGAGAAAGGUAAUCGAAUUCUAUUUACUCACAAG
RNAcentral lists this long non-coding RNA (2378 nucleotides) under Olea europaea subsp. europaea. The record is from RNAcentral. Lineage: Eukaryota; Viridiplantae; Streptophyta; Magnoliopsida; Lamiales; Oleaceae.